Long non-coding RNA from Mauremys reevesii (Reeves's turtle), 429 nucleotides. RefSeq lists it as uncharacterized. NCBI's taxonomy places the organism in Eukaryota, Metazoa, Chordata, Testudines, Geoemydidae. The transcript has 2 exons. The record is from RefSeq and is a predicted model, not a curated record.
GUGUCAUACCUGCACUGUGCAUGCUGCCAUGAGUGCAGACCCAGCCUAAGAGAUGGCUCUUUCAGUUCAGGCAGUAGCAGCUCAUGCAUUGAGAUCCAGAGUUCCCAGCUUGCCUCCAGCAUUUGCAUGACUUUUCAUUCCAAGCAUGACAUGAAGGAUUUGCCUGAAAACAGGAUCUUUUUCUCAACAGUGCAUCUGCUCAUUAUUUUCCCCAUCUUGGAGUCCUAAGAAUCCUUUGUUGGUUAAAUUACAUCCAGUUCCACAGCAGCCGGUUGUCAUGCUGCCGAUCAAGGUUGUGACAUCAUCAGGUGCACAUCUGAACUGAAUCUGAAGAUUUUAUUUCUGCACAAAUGCCUUGGAAAGAGGAAAUCUGGGGUGUACACAUAGAAAAGCAGGAAUGUUACUGGAAAAUAUUGGGCCAGAUCCUCA